GGAGCCGUAGCGAAAGCGAGUUUUAACUGAGCGUUCAGUUACUUGACGUAGACCCGAAACCGGGCGACCUACCCAUGAGCAGGAUGAAGCGAAAGUAAAAUUUCGUGGAGGUCCGAACCCACGAGCGUUGAAAAGCUCGGGGAUGACUUGUGGGUAGCGGUGAAAUUCCAAUCGAGCCCGGAGAUAGCUGGUUCUCCCCGAAAUAGCUUUAGGGCUAGCCUCAAGGUGAGAGAUACGGAGGUAGAGCACUGAAUGUCCUAGGGGGUAUUGCACCUACCGAAGACUAUCAAACUCCGAAUGCCGUCAUCUUAUACUUGGGAGUCAGACUGUGGGUGAUAAGAUUCAUAGUCGAAAGGGCAACAGCCCAGAUCGUCAGCUAAGGUCCCUAAAUGUAAGUUAAGUGGUAAAGGAUGUGGGAUUGCACAGACAACCAGGAUGUUGGCUUAGAAGCAGCCACUCAUUCAAAGAGUGCGUAAUAGCUCACUGGUCGAGUGAUCCUGCGCCGAAGAUUUCCGGGGCUAAAACUUACUACCGAAGCUACGGCAUCAGUAAUGAUGGGUAGGGGAGCUUCCCAUACGGGUUGAAGCAUGACCGUAAGGACAUGUGGACAGUAUGGGAGUGAGAAUGUUGGCAUGAGUAGCGAGAUGUGGGUGAGAAUCCCACAGGCCGUAAACCCAAGGU
Molecule: ribosomal RNA, 681 nt
Filed under: Clostridioides difficile
Lineage: Bacteria; Bacillati; Bacillota; Clostridia; Peptostreptococcales; Peptostreptococcaceae
Description: bacterial LSU rRNA
Rfam family: Bacterial large subunit ribosomal RNA
Source: RNAcentral